Molecule: long non-coding RNA, 210 nt
Filed under: Nicotiana benthamiana
Lineage: Eukaryota; Viridiplantae; Streptophyta; Magnoliopsida; Solanales; Solanaceae
Description: long non-coding RNA (NBEN_LNC008250)
Source: RNAcentral
AGUGUAAUCUCCUUUGCUCGAUCUUGGGCGUCUCUGUUCGACUGUUGAAACCUUCUGUUGUUCAUUUCCAUCCAGAUGUUGUAGACUACUGCUGCAAACACCACACCUAGUAUGGCUUUUCUGGGAUUCCUGCUGUUCACAUUAGCAGUUAACCAUUGCAUUUCUGACUCCCAUUUGCCUGUCGUUCAUUGAUAAUUCAACCAUUGUAAC